Molecule: ribosomal RNA, 251 nt
Filed under: uncultured prokaryote
Description: partial 16S rRNA
Rfam family: Bacterial small subunit ribosomal RNA
Source: RNAcentral
ACGUAGGGGGCGAGCGUUAUUCGGAAUUACUGGGUGUAAAGGGUAUGUAGGCGGCCCUUCAAGUCGCGUGUCAAAGUCCAGUGCUCAACGCUGGGUGUGCACGCGAUACUGACGGGCUUGAGGGCUGGAGAGGUGAGCGGAAUUCCCGGUGAAGUGGGAAAAUAGAUAGAGAGUGGCGAGAAGAUAAGCGGGGGUGGGGGGUCAAUAGGAAGUGUUUGACGUGUAGAUACGAAAGCGUGUGGUGAUUGCAG